Molecule: long non-coding RNA, 1309 nt
Filed under: Homo sapiens (human)
Lineage: Eukaryota; Metazoa; Chordata; Mammalia; Primates; Hominidae
Description: HSALNT0342121
Source: RNAcentral
UUUUAUUUUUACAGGGAAAGUUGCAGAAGAUUUGCUUUGACCUCAAAGUACAUUCUUUGUUUCCCUGGUGAUAAAGACCUCAGUCAUAGGACAACUGGGUAAACUGAAGUAGCCAAUUCUGCAAAGGAAGGUGGACUUUGCUUUCCAGUUCAGGAUCUUUUAUUACUGGUACUAUUAAGGCAAUCUUGGCAAAGUCUCAUUCAUAUUUAUUUAUGAACUGUGUUCUUGGCUAGAUAAGAGGGUACACUGUCACAAGGCAAGGCAGCAGCACUCCUUUUAUGACAUCAGAGAGGUCUUUGCCAAUGGCUCUGUUGCAUGCUUACGUAAUGUAAAAUAGUAGGCACAUAGUUGAAUGAAGGCUCAGGCGGAGAGGAUCACUUUUCAAAGAUUGUAAAAGAAGUUACGUGGAUAGUGUGUGUUAUGCAGCAAGGAAAGGAAUGGAAAAUCAGAAGACGUGUUUAGAUCACACAAACCAGAGGUGAAAGCUGAAUCUGAGAGGCUUCUGUUUCCAGCAAUAAGCUCUGUUGUUUGGUGAAUACUCAUUUAGGAUUGUUAAAUCUUCUUGGAGGAUUGACCUUUUUAUCAUUAGGUUGCUGAAGAAGAAUCUUACUCUAGGGCUCACUAGCAACUUUGGACUGGUGAUGUAUAAGACAUUAUAUAUUUCUGGGGUUUUUUUUUUGCUUUUUUUAUUUACAAAAGGUGAAUUUAGUUGUUUCUCUCUCAUUCCCUUAGUUCAAAAAUGAUUAGCCCCAGAUAUUGCCCUAUUCUUUUCCAAAUUCUGGUUAUACAUCAAAAUAAACAACCAAACAAAAACAUAGGGUUAGGGGAGAUUGGAUGAAAGAAAGAAGAAGAUGAAAGAAAGAAGAAAAAAACAUUCAAAGGCAAUGUUUUUCUUAACUGCUGUUCCCUUCAGUAAGAUAUAUAUUUCAGGCUGUGUCCACAGCACACACAUAUUUAACUAAAACAAACAUUUGACAAAGCAAUAGUUAUCCUUACAGAGGGAUAUGACACUUUUAUAUUUCCUGUUCUAGUCUAUCCUUUUUAAUGGUGCUUUUGACACACUAAUUAAGUCCAUAAACCACGAAGGGAUACCACCAAUGGUUUGAAAAUGAUAUCUUAAGGAGAUGCAAAAAUGUGAAAAGAGGGAGUUUCGUUUCAUAUGUAAUACGUACUAACUGACCUAGACUUUGUGAAAGUGGUAAAAAAAAUCACAGUGUGAUUUCAUUUCUAUAAAGAAUGCACAUCCAUAUAGACUCCUUCAGGCUGGGUAGGAGGCAGUGCUGGGUUGUGCUUUCUUCUUUUUCUUUCU